Molecule: ribosomal RNA, 251 nt
Filed under: uncultured prokaryote
Description: partial 16S rRNA
Rfam family: Bacterial small subunit ribosomal RNA
Source: RNAcentral
ACGGAGGGUGCAAGCGUUAAUCGGAAUUACUGGGCGUAAAGCGCACGCAGGCGGUUUGUUAAGUCAGUUGUGAAAUCCUCAGGCUCAACCUCAGAAUUCCGUCCGAUACUGUCAGGCUAGAGUAUGGGAGAGGGAAGUGGAAUUCCAGGUGUAGCGGUGAAAUGCGUAGAGAUCGGGAGGAACACCAGUGGCGAAGGCGGCCUCCUGGACCAAGACUGACGCUCAGGUGCGAAAGCGUGGGGAGCAAACAG